Molecule: long non-coding RNA, 480 nt
Filed under: Homo sapiens (human)
Lineage: Eukaryota; Metazoa; Chordata; Mammalia; Primates; Hominidae
Description: family with sequence similarity 157 member C
Source: RNAcentral
UGCGGCUCCAGGGGGCGGAACCGAGCCGUCUCCUCAGGACCUACGCAGGAGGCGCCGUCAUCCCUACAGGGACACCUGAGAGGGCCCAGCCUCCUCCUCCUCAGGACCUACUCGGGAGACGCCGCUGGCUCUCUAGGAACACCUGGGGACCGUGGCCAGGGACGACCCAGCCUCCUUCUCCUCAGCUCCUCAGGAACGACUGGGGAAGCUGUGGCUUCAUGGUCCCCGAGGCUGCCCGAGGAAAGACAGAGUCUCAACCAGGCUGGAGUGCAGUGGCGUGAUCUCGGCUCACUGCAACCUCCGCCUCCCAGGAGAAUCACUUGAACUGGGAGAUGGAGGUUGCAGUGAGCUGAGAUCGCACCAGUGCACUCCAGCCUGGGCAACAGAGUGAGACUCCAUCUUAUAAAAGGAAAAAAGAAAGAAAAGAAAAAUUCCAUAUCUGAGUGUUUACUCCUGAGUUUUUGAGAUUGUUAUUAAGAU